AUCAGGCUGACGAGUUCCAAACAGGACGAAACGCGCGUCCUGGAU
This 45-nucleotide non-coding RNA is filed under the name Schistosoma curassoni. The record is from RNAcentral. Lineage: Eukaryota; Metazoa; Platyhelminthes; Trematoda; Strigeidida; Schistosomatidae.